Molecule: transfer RNA, 71 nt
Filed under: Camelus dromedarius (Arabian camel)
Lineage: Eukaryota; Metazoa; Chordata; Mammalia; Artiodactyla; Camelidae
Also listed under: 1 other name
Rfam family: tRNA
About the family: Transfer RNA (tRNA) molecules are approximately 80 nucleotides in length. Their secondary structure includes four short double-helical elements and three loops (D, anti-codon, and T loops).
Source: Rfam by way of RNAcentral
CGGGGUGUAGCUCAGUGGUAAAGCAUGUACUUAGCAUGCAUAAGGUACUGGGUUCAAUCCUAGUACCUCCA